This 354-nucleotide ribosomal RNA is filed under the name Triticum aestivum (bread wheat). Its description in RNAcentral is "partial small subunit ribosomal RNA". Lineage: Eukaryota; Viridiplantae; Streptophyta; Magnoliopsida; Poales; Poaceae. The record is from RNAcentral.
AUGUGCAUUCCAAAAAUGAGUAGAGGUAUGGGGUUUAGAGAUAUACAUUGCCUCAACCUUGCUCUGCUUGCUAAACGAGCGUGACAAUUAAUCGAGAACUUAGAUUCUCUUUGUGCUAUGGUGCUACAAGAAAGAUACUACCCUUCUGGAGACCCUUUGAAUGCGGAGGCGAAAAAGGUAGCUUCUAUACAUGGCAGAGCAUAUGUUAAGGGAUCAAAACCGUCAAGAAAAAAAAGGUCAUAUGUGGCGUGUCAUGGUAACAGUAUAGACAUCUGGAGGAUAUAUGAGUGGAUCCCCCAUGGUCCUUCGAGAAGAAUUAUAACUAUAUCCUCAAAAAAAAAGAAUUAUAACUAG